RNAcentral lists this long non-coding RNA (203 nucleotides) under Elaeis guineensis (African oil palm). RNAcentral describes it as "long non-coding RNA (EGUI_LNC027785)". The record is from RNAcentral. Lineage: Eukaryota; Viridiplantae; Streptophyta; Magnoliopsida; Arecales; Arecaceae.
UAUAUCUCUCUUCUUCCUUCCUAUUAUGAUAUCGACAUUGUCACUAGCAAUUGCAAUCUUAGGCAAGAGAUCCGUAUUCUGCACUCAUGAAAGAUCUUUCCAACAAGUAGUAUCAAAGUCAGAUUGUCUGAAUUGCGACAGUAUUGAUCGAGAUUGAAGAAGAUGGAGAAGAUAGGCUCAAUCAAGAUAGAGAUCUAUCGGUA